AAAGCCAUUAGUAAAACUAAAGAAUAAUGAAUGAGCAAGAAAAGGACAGCAUAAAGUCAAUGUCAUUUACAUCAAACAACACAUAAUUUCAAAAACCUUCCAGAAAUAAUUCUGAAAGUCUUUUUACUUCCCCACUUCAACCACAAGGUUCCAUACAGCAAUCCUUUAAAAGGCAGAAUUCUUAUAACAGCAAUAUGUAUCAAGAAAGAGGACCAAAUGAAACCUACUUAUUUUAAAAAAUAGAAUGGCAACAAUCAAUAGUUAAUGAGCUACUUAAAACAAAGAAACACAGCAUUGUGAGACGCAAAAAGAUGAAGUUACACAUUCAAUGAUAUCUUACCCUUCAUAACAUGGAAGAUCAUGU
This 364-nucleotide unclassified non-coding RNA is filed under the name Hevea brasiliensis (rubber tree). The record is from RNAcentral. Lineage: Eukaryota; Viridiplantae; Streptophyta; Magnoliopsida; Malpighiales; Euphorbiaceae.